UCCGAUUUGUCACCGGCAGUCUCCUAUGAGUCCCCGUCUUUCACGCUGGCAACAUGCGGCGAGGGUUGCGCUCGUUGCGGGACUUAACCCAACAUCUCACGACACGAGCUGACGACAGCCAUGCAGCACCUGUGCACGGACUCCGAAGAGGAACCGAUGUUUCCACCGGCUUUCCCGUGCAUGUCAAGCCCAGGUAAGGUUCUUCGCGUUGCUUCGAAUUAAAGAACAUGCUCCGCUGCUUGUGCGGGCCCCCGUCAAUUCUUUUGAGUUUUAGCCUUGCGGCCGUACUCCCCAGGCGGGACACUUAACGCGUUAACUGCGGCACAGAGGGAUUCGACUCCCCCCACACCUAGUGUCCAUCGUUUACGGCUAGGACUAC
This 379-nucleotide unclassified non-coding RNA is filed under the name uncultured Rubrobacterales bacterium. RNAcentral's name for it is "contains 16S-23S intergenic spacer region". The record is from RNAcentral. Lineage: Bacteria; Bacillati; Actinomycetota; Rubrobacteria; Rubrobacterales.